AUGAACGCUGGCGGCGUGCCUAAUACAUGCAAGUCGAGCGAACGGACGAGAAGCUUGCUUUUCUGAUGUUAGCGGCGGACGGGGGAGUAACACGUGGAUAACCUACCUAUAAGACUGGGAUAACUUCGGGAAACCGGAGCUAAUACCGGAUAAUAUUUUGAACCGCAUGGGUCAAAAGUGAAAGACGGUCUUGCUGUCACUUAUAGAUGGAUCCGCGCUGCAUUAGCUAGUUGGUAAGGUAACGGCUUACCAAGGCAACGAUGCAUAGCCGACCUGAGAGGGUGAUCGGCCACACUGGAACUGAGACACGGUCCAGACUCCUACGGGAGGCAGCAGUAGGGAAUCUUCCGCAAUGGGCGAAAGCCUGACGGAGCAACGCCGCGUGAGUGAUGAAGGUCUUCGGAUCGUAAAACUCUGUUAUUAGGGAAGAACAUAUGUGUAAGUAACUGUGCACAUCUUGACGGUACCUAAUCAGAAAGCCACGGCUAACUACGUG
RNAcentral lists this ribosomal RNA (496 nucleotides) under uncultured bacterium. RNAcentral describes it as "partial 16S ribosomal RNA". It matches the Rfam family "Bacterial small subunit ribosomal RNA", at positions 29 to 507 of the family's 1533-position model. The record is from RNAcentral.